UACAUGUGGGGCGAGCGUUGUUCGGAAUUACUGGGCGUAAAGGGUGCGUAGGCGGCAUGCCAAGUCGCUGGUGAAAGUUCGCGGCCCAACCGCGAAAUGGCCGGUGAUACUGGCGUGCUUGAGUGCGGGAGGGGUCGGGGGAACGAGUGGUGUAGCGGUGAAAUGCGUAGAUAUCGCUUGGAACGCCGACGGUGAAAACAGCUCGCUGGGGGUGUGCUGACGCUGAGACACGAAAGCCAGGGGAGCGAACGGG
RNAcentral lists this ribosomal RNA (253 nucleotides) under uncultured bacterium. RNAcentral describes it as "partial 16S ribosomal RNA". It matches the Rfam family "Bacterial small subunit ribosomal RNA", at positions 524 to 776 of the family's 1533-position model. The record is from RNAcentral.